AGGCGGCUGCCGUUGCCCUGGUAACUUCACCUGAUCCAGGGCUGUAUCUAGGGCUUCUGAUCAUAUGCCUCUAAGUUAAUGUCCAAAUCUGAAACAUCAACUCCUCGACAGAGUUAACAAAUCAGUGGGCCAUUCUUCAAAGAUGAUGCCCUUUGCUCAAGGAUGAAGGGGAAGGAGCUCACGAGUGUGAGGAGGGUACAGGGAUCUGGGGGAUCCAGACAACAGCCUUGUGCUUUGCUAGGAGUAGAGGAGAAGGGGUAGCUAUGCAAAGAUCAGAUGCUGGGAAAGUACUGAGAUCCCAAAGUGUGUGGAAGCAAUCACUUUGUUUUGGUCCAGCAGGAAAGAUUAAAAUGAAAAGGUGGAGCUUAAAAAUUAAAUGGCUAAUGCGGAUAACGAUGAUCUUCACACAGGAGGCUGCUCCAGGAGAACUGUCUGCAGGAACGGAAUCGCCUUGUUGCUUUCUCUCUCAGAUAAAAUGUAUAGUACACAAUUAAAAAUGAUAUAAUACACGAGGAAAUAAAAUACGGAGAGACAGCAGAAGCUGAAGACUGUCCAGACACAUAGAUGGUACAGAUGCUGGAACUCUGCCAGUCAGCAGCAGAGGGGAUACUGAGUAAAGGUCAGACAGCAAGAGAGUGAGGCCGAAUCCAGAGCUGGAGACACAGAAAGACAACAAUGACGAGCUGUGGCUUGGUGGACAUGGAUGUUGACGUGUGAUCUUCAUCUUCAUCACCCUCAUGUCAACCAGAAGAGAGAAGUGUGCACAGAAGGAAGUGCAGGAUGUCAGAGGCAUAAAAGUAAAGACAGAGUCAGGGAAGGAGAGUGGAGUUUAAACGAUGUAGGGACAUUGCAUUAGCUAGGAUAAGAUUAUUAACAUCAAAUUUUGAUACAGGUCCACAAAUAUUGUAAUUUCAAGGGUAAUUAUUGAAUGAGUCACAAAUGCUUAUAAUAGAAGGGAAAUGAAUAAUUGAAAUAAAAGCAAUUAAGUAUAAUUAAGUGUAGAGAG
RNAcentral lists this long non-coding RNA (1006 nucleotides) under Mus pahari (shrew mouse). Its description in RNAcentral is "lncRNA (MGP_PahariEiJ_G0006096.1)". The record is from RNAcentral. Lineage: Eukaryota; Metazoa; Chordata; Mammalia; Rodentia; Muridae.